GAUGAAGAACGCAGCGAAAUGCGAUAAGUAAUGUGAAUUGCAGAAUUCAGUGAAUCAUCGAAUCUUUGAACGCACAUUGCGCCCGCUAGUAUUCUGGCGGGCAUGCCUGUCCGAGCGUCAUUUCAACCCUCAAGCCCCCGGGCUUGGUGUUGGGGAUCGGCGAGCCUCCGCGCCCGCCGUCCCCUAAAUCUAGUGGCGGUCUCGCUGUAGCUUCCUCUGCGUAGUAGCACACCUCGCACUGGGAAACAGCGCGGCCACGCCGUUAAACCCCCCACUUCUGAACGUUUGACCUCGGAUCAGGUAGGAAUACCCGAUGAACUUAAGCAUAUCAAUAAGCGGAGGA
This 343-nucleotide unclassified non-coding RNA is filed under the name soil metagenome. RNAcentral's name for it is "partial contains 5.8S ribosomal RNA, internal transcribed spacer 2, and large subunit ribosomal RNA". The stretch from base 1 to 120 matches the Rfam family "5.8S ribosomal RNA", at positions 35 to 154 of the family's 154-position model. The record is from RNAcentral.